RNAcentral lists this long non-coding RNA (261 nucleotides) under Lupinus angustifolius (narrow-leaved blue lupine). RNAcentral describes it as "long non-coding RNA (LANG_LNC000477)". Lineage: Eukaryota; Viridiplantae; Streptophyta; Magnoliopsida; Fabales; Fabaceae. The record is from RNAcentral.
CAACCCCUAGACUAACCUAGAACACAUCCCUUCAUCAACCCUAUCAAAGGACCCAACACUCUUUAUCAACACUUUAAAAAAAUCUUCACGCCAAGCCAUCGCCGGGAUUCCCAAACACCUUAACCAAACGAACUUCUCUUUUACAACUGCCAUAUGAGACCAAGGCUUUAAAGAAGAAAAAAACUCCUCACACCACUUUUCUUCCACUUGCAAAAAGUCUUUUGUAUCUUCCUUGGAAACAAUUUUCAACAAAAAAAUCAU